This 248-nucleotide long non-coding RNA is filed under the name Cyanistes caeruleus (blue tit). Its description in RNAcentral is "lncRNA (ENSCCEG00000000870.1)". The record is from RNAcentral. Lineage: Eukaryota; Metazoa; Chordata; Aves; Passeriformes; Paridae.
GCUGUACUGUUCAUAGCUCUUUGACAUGCAAAUGGUCCCAAUUAGCUGGGCAAGGUUCUUCUAUUUGAUCCCCUGCAUUUCCAGGAAGCCAUGAUGGAUCUUGCAGUUGAGACAGUGAACAUUCCUUGAAGAAGCUAUUGAAGGAAUUUGCUUCCUAGAGUCUCAGAAUGCUGGCAGCUCUUACUGUAGUAGAUGUCAAGCACCCCGUUUUGUCCUCAUCUCUGUUACAACAUCAUUUGACAUUCUGG